Molecule: ribosomal RNA, 395 nt
Filed under: Brachytrupes membranaceus
Lineage: Eukaryota; Metazoa; Arthropoda; Insecta; Orthoptera; Gryllidae
Description: partial 12S ribosomal RNA
Source: RNAcentral
UAUUAUUAAAUAUGUAAAUUAUGAAUAUCUGAGUAGUAUUAGUUAUGUCCUUGAAACUCAAAGAAUUUGGCGGUAUUUUAGUCCUUUCAGAGGAAUCUGUUCUGUAAUUGAUAGUACACGAUUUUUGUUACUUGAUCUAGUUAUCAGUUUAUAUACCGCUGUCGUGAAGAUUAUCUUGUGGAGAGUAUAAAUUUUCAUUAUUUUUUAUUAAAAUUUAUGUCAGGUCAAGGUGUAGCUUAUGAUUAAGAGGAAAUGGAUUACAAUAAAUUUAUUUAUGGAUAAUAUUAUUAAGUUGUAUUUGAAAGUGGAUUUGAUUGUAAAUUAGUUGAAAUUGAUUUUUUGAUUUAGGCUCUAGAAUGUGCACACAUCGCCCGUCGCUCUCGUUUUAAGAUGAG